Molecule: transfer RNA, 72 nt
Filed under: Verrucomicrobiota bacterium
Lineage: Bacteria; Pseudomonadati; Verrucomicrobiota
Description: Verrucomicrobia bacterium tRNA-Arg
Rfam family: tRNA
About the family: Transfer RNA (tRNA) molecules are approximately 80 nucleotides in length. Their secondary structure includes four short double-helical elements and three loops (D, anti-codon, and T loops).
Source: RNAcentral
GCUCCCAUCGUUCAAUGGAUAGGACUGCGGUUUCCGGUACCGCCAAUCAGGGUUCGACUCCCUGUGGGAGUG